GCUGACGAGUGGCGGACGGGUGAGUAAUGUCUGGGAAACUGCCUGAUGGAGGGGGAUAACUACUGGAAACGGUGGCUAAUACCGCAUAACGUCGCAAGACCAAAGAGGGGGACCUUCGGGCCUCUUGCCAUCAGAUGUGCCCAGAUGGGAUUAGCUUGUUGGUGAGGUAACGGCUCACCAAGGCGACGAUCCCUAGCUGGUCUGAGAGGAUGACCAGCCACACUGGAACUGAGACACGGUCCAGACUCCUACGGGAGGCAGCAGUGGGGAAUAUUGCACAAUGGGCGCAAGCCUGAUGCAGCCAUGCCGCGUGUAUGAAGAAGGCCUUCGGGUUGUAAAGUACUUUCAGCGGGGAGGAAGGUGUUGUGGUUAAUAACCGCAGCAAUUGACGUUACCCGCAGAAGAAGCACCGGCUAACUCCGUGCCAGCAGCCGCGGUAAUACGGAGGGUGCAAGCGUUAAUCGGAAUUACUGGGCGUAAAGCGCACGCAGGCGGUCUGUCAAGUCGGAUGUGAAAUCCCCGGGCUCAACCUGGGAACUGCAUUCGAAACUGGCAGGCUUGAGUCUUGUAGAGGGGGGUAGAAUUCCAGGUGUAGCGGUGAAAUGCGUAGAGAUCUGGAGGAAUACCGGUGGCGAAGGCGGCCCCCUGGACAAAGACUGACGCUCAGGUGCGAAAGCGUGGGGAGCAAACAGGAUUAGAUACCCUGGUAGUCCACGCCGUAAACGAUGUCUACUUGGAGGUUGUGCCCUUGAGGCGUGGCUUCCGGAGCUAACGCGUUAAGUAGACCGCCUGGGGAGUACGGCCGCAAGGUUAAAACUCAAAUGAAUUGACGGGGGCCCGCACAAGCGGUGGAGCAUGUGGUUUAAUUCGAUGCAACGCGAAGAACCUUACCUGGUCUUGACAUCCACGGAAGUUUCCAGAGAUGGAUUGGUGCCUUCGGGAACCGUGAGACAGGUGCUGCAUGGCUGUCGUCAGCUCGUGUUGUGAAAUGUUGGGUUAAGUCCCGCAACGAGCGCAACCCUUAUCCUUUGUUGCCAGCGGUCCGGCCGGGAACUCAAAGGAGACUGCCAGUGAUAAACUGGAGGAAGGUGGGGAUGACGUCAAGUCAUCAUGGCCCUUACGACCAGGGCUACACACGUGCUACAAUGGCGCAUACAAAGAGAAGCGACCUCGCGAGAGCAAGCGGACCUCAUAAAGUGCGUCGUAGUCCGGAUUGGAGUCUGCAACUCGACUCCAUGAAGUCGGAAUCGCUAGUAAUCGUGGAUCAGAAUGCCACGGUGAAUACGUUCCCGGGCCUUGUACACACCGCCCGUCACACCAUGGGAGUGGGUUGCAAAAGAAGUAGGUAGCUUAACCUUCGGGAGGGCGCUUACCACUUUGUGAUUCAUGACUGGGGUGAAGUCGUAACAAGGUAACCGUAGGGGAACCUGCGGUUGGAUCACCUCCUUACCU
RNAcentral lists this ribosomal RNA (1452 nucleotides) under Salmonella enterica subsp. enterica serovar Bredeney. RNAcentral's name for it is "bacterial SSU rRNA". It matches the Rfam family "Bacterial small subunit ribosomal RNA". The record is from RNAcentral. Lineage: Bacteria; Pseudomonadati; Pseudomonadota; Gammaproteobacteria; Enterobacterales; Enterobacteriaceae.